Molecule: ribosomal RNA, 305 nt
Filed under: uncultured bacterium
Lineage: Bacteria
Description: bacterial SSU rRNA
Rfam family: Bacterial small subunit ribosomal RNA
Source: RNAcentral
UUCUACCGACGGGACGCAGCAGUGGGGAAUAUUGCGCAAUGGGCGCAAGCCUGAUGCAGCAACGCCGCGUGAGCGAAGAAGGUCUUCGGAUCGUAAAGCUCUGUCCUUGAGGAAGAAGGAAGUGACGGUACUCAAGGAGGAAGCCCCGGCUAACUACGUGCCAGCAGCCGCGGUAAUACGUAGGGGGCAAGCGUUAUCCGGAAUUAUUGGGCGUAAAGAGUACGUAGGUGGUUUUGUAAGCGCGGGGUGAAAGGCAGUGGCUUAACCAUUGUAAGCCUUGCGAACUGCAAGACUUGAGUGCAGGG